Molecule: long non-coding RNA, 826 nt
Organism: Homo sapiens (human)
Lineage: Eukaryota; Metazoa; Chordata; Mammalia; Primates; Hominidae
Source: Ensembl
AGAUGGACCUCCAGCCACGGCCGGGCCAGACUCGUGGACACAGGCGCAGUGUCACGUACAGACCACGGGGAGACAUGGCACUAGGGGACAAAUGGACGUGACACCACAAUGCACAGGGCAGGCCACAGAGCUCGAGGGACGUGGGCAGGGGCCUUUUGGCAUUUCUGCGCUGGAAUCAUGUGAGACAAGGGUGGUGGCCGCUCUGGAGGUGCCUGGGGGGUUCCCUCAUUACCCCUCUGGGCUUAGUCCAUCCUCCACACUGUUGUGCAGCUUCUCCACCUCCUGGUAGAGGAUAAAUACUGUUACCCUUAUCCCUGGUCACAUCCAGGGAGACGCGGUCCAGCGGCCCAGGCGGGGGACAGUGCCGUUCUAGAGGUCCUUGAGCCCCUCCUUCCUCAGGAUCUGCAGCCAUAGGCCGGUGUGUUCCGCGUUUGUGCUGCUCCAGGCCCCGCAUCCGGUCUCGAUCCCAUCCAGAGGAGCGUUUCCCAAGACACUGGCUGCGCCCACAAUGGCUCCGAAGACCCCAGCGACCAGCGGGUCCAUGGGCUUGCUGGGGUUGUCCCCUCGGUACCAGCUGUGCAGGGAGGUCAGGAGGAGAAGCAGACGGCCUGGUUCCAGCCCUGCUUUAGCGUGGGUGCCAUGAGGCCCCGACGUUUAAAGUAUUGCUGUGUGUUUCAAGUGGAGGAGGUCAUAUUACAACUGACAUUUGUCCUUGACUACUGGACAUAUCACACCAGCCCUGAUUGCAGUUAUACUUGAAGCCAGAUCUACCCUUAACGUAUAUUCAUUUUACUAUUCAAUAAAUAUUAACUUAUCAUGAAUGGUA